GCCCUCGUAGCUCAAUGGCCAGAGCGUCGGUCUUCGGAACCGCAGGUUGGGGGUUCGAAUCCCUCCGAGGGUACCA
Molecule: transfer RNA, 76 nt
Filed under: Caldilineales bacterium
Lineage: Bacteria; Bacillati; Chloroflexota; Caldilineae; Caldilineales
Description: tRNA-Arg
Rfam family: tRNA
About the family: Transfer RNA (tRNA) molecules are approximately 80 nucleotides in length.
Source: RNAcentral